CAGGAUGUUGGCUUAGAAGCAGCCAUCAUUUAAAGAAAGCGUAAUAGCUCACUGGUCGAGUCGUCCUGCGCGGAAGAUGUAACGGGGCUCAAAUCUAUAACCGAAGCUGCGGAUGCCAGUUUACUGGCAUGGUAGGGGAGCGUUCUGUAGGCCGAUGAAGGUGCAUUGUAAAGUGUGCUGGAGGUAUCAGAAGUGCGAAUGUUGACAUGAGUAGCGAUAAAGCGGGUGAAAAGCCCGCUCGCCGAAAGCCCAAGGUUUCCUACGCAACGUUCAUCGGCGUAGGGUGAGUCGGCCCCUAAGGCGAGGCAGAAAUGCGUAGUCGAUGGGAAACAGGUUAAUAUUCCUGUACUUGAUUCAAAUGCGAUGUGGGGACGGAGAAGGUUAGGUUAGCAAGCUGUUGGAAUAGCUUGUUUAAGCCGGUAGGUGGAAGACUUAGGCAAAUCCGGGUCUUCUUAACACCGAGAAGUGACGACGAGUGUCUACGGACAUGAAGUAACCGAUACCACGCUUCCAGGAAAAGCCACUAAGCUUCAGUUUGAAUUGAACCGUACCGCAAACCGACACAGGUGGGCAGGAUGAGAAUUCUAAGGCGCUUGAGAGAACUCGGGAGAAGGAACUCGGCAAAUUGAUACCGUAACUUCGGGAGAAGGUAUGCCCUCUAAGGUUAAGGACUUGCUCCGUAAGCCCUGGAGGGUCGCAGAGAAUAGGUGGCUGCGACUGUUUAUUAAAAACACAGCACUCUGCUAACACGAAAGUGGACGUAUAGGGUGUGACGCCUGCCCGGUGCUGGAAGGUUAAUUGAAGAUGUGCAAGCAUCGGAUCGAAGCCCCAGUAAACGGCGGCCGUAACUAUAACGGUCCUAAGGUAGCGAAAUUCCUUGUCGGGUAAGUUCCGACCCGCACGAAUGGCGUAACGAUGGCCACACUGUCUCCUCCCGAGACUCAGCGAAGUUGAAGUGGUUGUGAAGAUGCAAUCUACCCGCUGCUAGACGGAAAGACCCCGUGAACCUUUACUGUAGCUUUGCAUUGGACUUUGAAGUCACUUGUGUAGGAUAGGUGGGAGGCUUUGAAGCAGAGACGCCAGUCUCUGUGGAGCCGUCCUUGAAAUACCACCCUGGUGUCUUUGAGGUUCUAACCCAGACCCGUAAUCCGGGUCGGGGACCGUGCAUGGUAGGCAGUUUGACUGGGGCGGUCUCCUCCCAAAGAGUAACGGAGGAGUUCGAAGGUUACCUAGGUCCGGUCGGAAAUCGGACUGAUAGUGCAAUGGCAAAAGGUAGCUUAACUGCGAGACCGACAAGUCGAGCAGGUGCGAAAGCAGGACAUAGUGAUCCGGUGGUUCUGUAUGGAAGGGCCAUCGCUCAACGGAUAAAAGGUACUCCGGGGAUAACAGGCUGAUUCCGCCCAAGAGUUCAUAUCGACGGCGGAGUUUGGCACCUCGAUGUCGGCUCAUCACAUCCUGGGGCUGUAGUCGGUCCCAAGGGUAUGGCUGUUCGCCAUUUAAAGUGGUACGUGAGCUGGGUUUAAAACGUCGUGAGACAGUUUGGUCCCUAUCUGCAGUGGGCGUUGGAAGUUUGACGGGGGCUGCUCCUAGUACGAGAGGACCGGAGUGGACGAACCUCUGGUGUACCGGUUGUAACGCCAGUUGCAUAGCCGGGUAGCUAAGUUCGGAAGAGAUAAGCGCUGAAAGCAUCUAAGCGCGAAACUCGCCUGAAGAUGAGACUUCCCUUG
RNAcentral lists this ribosomal RNA (1727 nucleotides) under human oral metagenome. Its description in RNAcentral is "bacterial LSU rRNA". It matches the Rfam family "Bacterial large subunit ribosomal RNA", at positions 1094 to 2818 of the family's 2925-position model. The record is from RNAcentral.